AAAAAAAAAAAAAAAAAAAAAAAAAGGCGGGGGCUAAGUCAACUGAGGGGCAAAAAUGUCAUUUUGCCCCUCCAACCCAAAUAGGGGUCCAAGGAGAAUCCAGCCAGAUUGCCUGCAAAAGAAAGAAGAGGUUAGAGAGAGGUUAGAGAGAGGUCGGCCGGGAAGAUUAACGGACCACCGCCGGAAUCCAUCUCCAGACGAGACUCGUACCAGGAUUGAGGGGCUAUCAAGGCCUACGCACCAUCAAAGCCUAAGAACAUUUCGCGGGGAACAACUCACGCACGGUCUGUGAAGAAGUUUGGCCGAGACCUCAACCCAAAGGCAGAGAUCCGAGGGUCAUCCGAGAACGGUGAGCAAACUUCCGGCGUUCUUAAAUCCUCCGAUAGUCAAGAAAAAAAUUAUAAAAAGAAUACUAGGACGUAGCCUGUAACACGAUCUAGAACGUUGCCGAAGGAAUCAUAUUGAUCCGAUCUACGGAUCGAAAGAUAUGAAAAUCGGAAAACAAAAACCGACUGGGUUUCGGUUUCCAAAGGACAGAGAAGAAAAAAAAA
Molecule: long non-coding RNA, 551 nt
Organism: Cucurbita moschata (crookneck pumpkin)
Lineage: Eukaryota; Viridiplantae; Streptophyta; Magnoliopsida; Cucurbitales; Cucurbitaceae
Exons: 2
Source: RefSeq, a predicted model, not a curated record